This 996-nucleotide unclassified non-coding RNA is filed under the name Hevea brasiliensis (rubber tree). Lineage: Eukaryota; Viridiplantae; Streptophyta; Magnoliopsida; Malpighiales; Euphorbiaceae. The record is from RNAcentral.
UUUGUAAGCUAAGAUCAUAAGAGAUACUUGGAAUUUAAAUCUGUGUACAUAGCUUCAUGUACUAUCUGGCUAAAAUGCCCAGUGCGAAAAAGAUAAAGCAAAAUCUUGCACAAAAUUUUCAGCUUAAUCACCAAAUGAUUUCUCCAUCUUCCUUGAUCCGUAGCAUGUGUUACUUCCAUGACUUACAAAUUAGUAACUGUCAAUGGCUGGCAGAGCCAGUAUUCCAACCUGAAGGAGGUGGAGCAGGGGAUCCUUGGAAAUUUUAGUGCCUGGAUGGAGCAGGGCAGAGCCCUCUUCGCUCCCUUAAUUGCAAUAUUGAGAUGGCUAUCUAUCAUCAGUUUUAACAGGAUCAUUCUCCAGAUCUUGAAUAUCCUUCUUGCUCUUCACCGAGAUCCACUUCUUGGUAUUAAAAUCAAGUUUGUCCAAGUCAUCCACAACCCCCAUGUAUCCAUAUAGUAGGCGAUCCUCCAACAUGUCUCCCUGUAUUUCUGCUUCAAAACCAUUGCUGCUUUUGUUAGCAUUGGAUGUUUUGCGUUCAAAUUCUUCUCUCCCAUGUUUAUUCUCAGCAAAAUAUUUAUGAAGUCUCUCUGCAUUUCCAAGUCCAGUGAAGGUGCCCAAAAACUUUAUCAACAUAACACUUUGGUCAGCAGGUUUACCUAGGCAUACCUUGAUUUUUCCCCCAACAAAACCUUUACCUCUAAGAAAAGCUUCAACCCCUUCAAUAGGUAUGACCUUCUGUUGUUCUGGAUUCACAUUUGACAUAGAAAUGUUGUGAAUGAUAACAAGUGGAGGCCAUAUCAUCAAAUCCUCCUUCUGAGCCCAAGCUUCUGCCUCAGGCAAGACAUCUGGAACCCAAGUUCUCAUGUCGCAAGGCACAUAAGUGUUCCACCCCAUCAAAAUGCAUAUUGCUUUAUGAAGACCCAGGUGUUGUGCUCUCAAUCCAACCUUGUGAGACAUGAAAGCAUGAGUUACCAAGCGUUGAGUGUCCAUGAAAUC